This is a long non-coding RNA of Vicia villosa (hairy vetch), 721 nucleotides long. RefSeq lists it as uncharacterized. The record is from RefSeq and is a predicted model, not a curated record. Lineage: Eukaryota; Viridiplantae; Streptophyta; Magnoliopsida; Fabales; Fabaceae. The transcript is spliced from 5 exons.
AAUUUGAGGCAGAGCAAGUGAGGGAUAAUUUAUGGGUAAAGCUUCAACGGAUAUACUUGUCAAAAACAAUGAAGUUGUGCUGGUGUGGAUUGAGUCCAAUGAUUAGGUCAUCAAACAUAUGAGAAAGUCUAUGCUAAAGUCUAGUGGCUGAAAGUGGUUGUGCCAUCUCAUUGCUCAACAUUUCUAAAAGGGUUGACUUAAAGCUUCAAAUUCUAGCAAGACGUUUCAUUGGUAUUUUAAAAGUUUGUUCAAUUAACACUUGAAUAUGGAAUAAUUUCACAAAAUCAAGAAUUGUGAAAUUCUUCAAAGCACCUCGUGCCUUUUCUCACUUGAACUCAGCAACAUUUGCUUUCGAAGUUCUUAAUUCUGGUAGUAACCGUACUCGCUCAAAUUGCAGCCUCAGUUGUAAGCUUGCUGAUGGGGCCACGUCAGUCUGCACAAAUUGGAGAGUUACAUACUCAUGCUUGCAAGAUGGAAAUCAUAGUUUGGAAGUUUGCACCAAUGGAAAUUGUAGCUUUGUGGGCUGUGCUAGCUACAAUUGGACUGUUGACACAAUUCCACCAACAACAUAUGUUACAGCCUCAACAAUUUUCACAAGUUCUUCGAAUUUUCCGUAAAUUUAUCUUUCACCAAACCUUGUAUAGGCGAUGGUUUUGGAUGCAAGUCUGUGAAUGCCUGCAAUCUUCUUGUCUAUGGUGUUGGCCAGGUUGUACCAUCUUCC